This 487-nucleotide long non-coding RNA is filed under the name Betta splendens (Siamese fighting fish). RNAcentral describes it as "lncRNA (ENSBSLG00000019231.1)". Lineage: Eukaryota; Metazoa; Chordata; Actinopteri; Anabantiformes; Osphronemidae. The record is from RNAcentral.
CUUGCACACCACCAGCAUUUGCGAGGAAAUCAAGAGCAGGAGAGCACGAGGGGAAGAGAGGACCAGAUGGGAGACUGAGAUGGAUUGGCCGGGCUAACAGGCAGAUGUUUAUGAGCCAUUAUUUACAAGCUCUUUAAUCUGGGCUAUUUCCUCGCCCUUGGCAAUGGAUAGGUCUGCAGGUCAUGCUGCCUGAACACCUCCACCAGUGGUCAUUCAUCUCCCUCUUUAAAAGCUGGAGUGAAAGAGGGAAUGAAGGAGGGAGGAAGGUACAAAGUGAAGGAGAGAAAUGUUAAGUGUAGGAGUGUACCUCUACAAAUGGACCCUAAAAGGUUAGUCAGCUGUAAGUAUUGAAGUAUUUCCCUUUAUCCUGACAGAGCCUCCCAACUAGCAUGCUAGUUUUAGCACCACUCAGAUGUAAAUACACACUCACACCAGGGAGCUACACAGUGCAAGCACACAGGAUGCAGAGCGGCUUCAACCGAGCGGC